AUUGAACGCUGGCGGCAUGCCUUACACAUGCAAGUCGAACGGCAGCACGGGUGCUUGCACCUGGUGGCGAGUGGCGCACGGGUGAGUAAUACAUCGGAACAUGUCCUGUAGUGGGGGAUAGCCCGGCGAAAGCCGGAUUAAUACCGCCUACGAUCUACGGAUGAAAGCGGGGGACCUUCGGGCCUCGCGCUAUAGGGUUGGCCGAUGGCUGAUUAGCUAGUUGGUGGGGUAAAGGCCUACCAAGGCGACGAUCAGUAGCUGGUCUGAGAGGACGACCAGCCACACUGGGACUGAGACACGGCCCAGACUCCUACGGGAGGCAGCAGUGGGGAAUUUUGGACAAUGGGCGAAAGCCUGAUCCAGCAAUGCCGCGUGUGUGAAGAAGGCCUUCGGGUUGUAAAGCACUUUUGUCCGGAAAGAAAUCCUUGGCCCUAAUACGGUCGGGGGAUGACGGUACCGGAAGAAUAAGCACCGGCUAACUACGUG
This 486-nucleotide ribosomal RNA is filed under the name uncultured bacterium. RNAcentral describes it as "partial 16S ribosomal RNA". It matches the Rfam family "Bacterial small subunit ribosomal RNA", at positions 30 to 507 of the family's 1533-position model. The record is from RNAcentral.